UCCUCGAUAGCUCAGUCGGUAGAGCAACGGACUGUUAAUCCGUGGGUCCCUGGUUCGAGCCCAGGUCGAGGAGCCA
This 76-nucleotide transfer RNA is filed under the name Gammaproteobacteria bacterium. RNAcentral describes it as "tRNA-Asn". It matches the Rfam family "tRNA". From Rfam's summary of the family: Transfer RNA (tRNA) molecules are approximately 80 nucleotides in length. Their secondary structure includes four short double-helical elements and three loops (D, anti-codon, and T loops). Lineage: Bacteria; Pseudomonadati; Pseudomonadota; Gammaproteobacteria. RNAcentral also lists the same sequence under 1 other name. The record is from RNAcentral.